CUCCUCCAGUGGGUGGAGCCGAUUCACACUGUUGAGAGUGUGAGACAGGGUUAAACAUUCAAAUAUUAUUUUUGUCAUCGCUGUCUGUCUAAAGACAUAAUGUUUCUCUUUACCUGGAUAAUAAUGCAACUUUGUAUGGGAAAUUCUUUUGGAGAUACAAUACAACCAUUUACAACAGAAAAACUUGUUUUUGAUGGUGAAAAUGUGACUCUCUCCUGUAACUACAGUCUCACUAGUGGCACUAGUGUUACUCUCUAUUGGUAUCGCCAGUAUCUCAGCAGAGCAAAACCAGAAUUUUUACUUUUUGUCACUGAAUAUUCAAGCAAAUCUGAGCCUGAUCUUCGUCUGUAUUCAAAAGCUACAAAAGAGAUCAAACGUGUGGAUCUGGAGAUCUCCUCUGCUGAAGUGUCAGACUCUGCUGUGUAUUACUGUGCCCUGCAGCCCACAGUCACAGGAAACACUAGAACACUGUACAAAAACCCUUCAUAAUCUUAUUUAGUGAAAGAAGAAAGAUACACAAAGA
This is a non-coding RNA of Pimephales promelas (fathead minnow), 523 nucleotides long. Lineage: Eukaryota; Metazoa; Chordata; Actinopteri; Cypriniformes; Leuciscidae. The record is from the annotation of a RefSeq genome assembly.